UACAGAGGUGGCAAGCGUUGUUCGGAAUUACUGGGCGUAAAGGGCGCGUAGGCGGCCUUGUAAGUCCUGUGUGAAAUCCCCCGGCUCAACUGGGGAACUGCACAGGAGACUGCUUGGCUUGAGUUCGGGAGAGGGAAGUGGAAUUCCGGGUGUAGCGGUGAAAUGCGUAGAUAUCCGGAGGAACACCGGUGGCGAAGGCGGCUGCCUGGACCGACACUGACGCUGAGGCGCGAAAGCCAGGGGAGCAAACGGG
Molecule: ribosomal RNA, 253 nt
Filed under: uncultured bacterium
Lineage: Bacteria
Description: partial 16S ribosomal RNA
Rfam family: Bacterial small subunit ribosomal RNA
Source: RNAcentral